UACGGGGGGGGCAAGCGUUGUUCAGAAUUACUGGGCGUAAAGGGCUCGUAGGUGGCCAACUAAGUCAGACGUGAAAUCCCUCGGCUUAACCGGGGAACUGCGUCUGAUACUGGACGGCUUGAGUUUGGGAGAGGGACGCGGAAUUCCAGGUGUAGCGGUGAAAUGCGUAGAUAUCUGGAGGAACACCGGUGGCGAAGGCGGCAUCCUGGACCGGUAUUGACGCUGAGGCGCGAAAGCCAGGGGAGCAAACGGG
Molecule: ribosomal RNA, 253 nt
Filed under: uncultured bacterium
Lineage: Bacteria
Description: partial 16S ribosomal RNA
Rfam family: Bacterial small subunit ribosomal RNA
Source: RNAcentral